GCAAACUUGGUCAUUUAGAGGAAGUAAAAGUCGUAACAAGGUUUCCGUAGGUGAGUUGGAAGCUUUUCAUCUUACACCCCCCAAUAUGCUUCAAUAAUGUGCUGACUUUUUUUAGGUGAACCUGCGGAAGGAUCAUUACUGGGUUGGACGUACGUCCGCUACCCGCCCUCUGUCAUCUGUACUGAAUGUUUCGGCCCUCGGGUCGGCAGCACUCUGUAGAAGUUUGAAGUCUGAAAAACUUGUUAAUAAAAAAACUUUCAACAACGGAUCUCUUGGUUCUGGCAUCGAUGAAGAACGCAGC
Molecule: unclassified non-coding RNA, 301 nt
Filed under: uncultured fungus
Lineage: Eukaryota; Fungi
Description: partial contains small subunit ribosomal RNA, internal transcribed spacer 1, and 5.8S ribosomal RNA
Rfam family: Eukaryotic small subunit ribosomal RNA (bases 1-138)
Source: RNAcentral